Molecule: ribosomal RNA, 406 nt
Filed under: uncultured bacterium
Lineage: Bacteria
Description: partial 16S ribosomal RNA
Rfam family: Bacterial small subunit ribosomal RNA
Source: RNAcentral
AUUGAACGCUGGCGGCAGGCCUAACACAUGCAAGUCGAGCGAGCGGCGGACGGGUGAGUAAUGUCUGGGGAACUGCCCGAUAGAGGGGGAUAACUACUGGAAACGGUAGCUAAUACCGCAUACUAUCGGAUGAACCCAUAUGGGAUUAGCUAGUAGGUGGGGUAAAGGCUCACCUAGGCGACGAUCCCUAGCUGGUCUGAGAGGAUGACCAGCCAAACUGGGACUGAGACACGGCCCAGACUCCUACGGGAGGCAGCAGUGGGGAAUAUUGCACAAUGGGCGCAAGCCUGAUGCAGCCAUGCCGCGUGUAUGAAGAAGGCCUUAGGGUUGUAAAGUACUUUCAGCGAGGAGGCGUUACCCGCAGAAGAAGCACCGGCUAACUCCGUGCCAGCCGCCGCGGUAAUAC